UUUUGAAACAUUCGAUCGAGUACUUUCCUUAAAAAAAUUCACGAAAUUCGCCUAAGUUUCCAUGGGUUGCACUGCUAUAGCCUCAGGACUCAAGCUCUCUAUUCAACGCCUUCGAACCCCGUCAUUGCAAUAACCUACAAAAUCCAGACGCAAAUUAACCACAAACCACAAAGGCCAAGUUGAUAUGACCACUAAAUAAUAUUCGCUAUGGGUCUUCACCUUCGCGUUGAUCUGCUCAACACACACACCGCACGGACGCAAAUCAGCAAUGUGUAAGCAACAAAACCAACAUAAUCAGCAAAUGGGCACGAAGAAGCGUCUGCGCAAUGAAGCUACUGAUUGCGCUAUACUCGUAGUACAACAACUAUACGACACGAACCGAGCAAAAGGUUCAACCAAUCAUACAUGGUAAUUUACUUUUACUGUUUGUUAUUCCUGCUGCCAACAACAACAAAUGUUGCAUGAUGGAAGCACAGGCAAUUUCUUAUGCCACCAAGCAACACAGAUGCAGCAUUCGAAAAUCAUCAAUUGAAUUGACUGAAGCAGAUCAAAAGGUCGCAGCAACUGCAAAAAUAUUAAAAAUACAAUCAAAUAAUGAUGGAGAAAUGGAGUUCGAUCGGCUAUCAAAUACCGAUAUUCAGCAGUAAGCUUUGAACGAGGACAAAACGAGAUAUCUCCUGUUAUCAAACAAACAGUCGGCGAAUUCGCGACUUGACUCACACGUCACUGUUGAUAGUCAUAACUUGGAAGUAAUUUCGUCUAUGAUGGAAUCAGUAAUUAACACGAACAACAAUGUAAGCCUUGAAAUCCAAUGCAGAAUCACUCUUGCCAAUAUGUGCUACUUUAGACUGAGCAGGCAACUGAAAAAUAAAGUCCUACCUCGACAAGCAAAGCAAACUCAGUCCUUUAUUAUUCCCGCCCAGAUUUAUGUUGCAAAAUCGUGUACGAUGUCAACAUCCGAUGAGACGGCACUAGGAGUAUUCGAAGGAAAUGUUUUGCGGAAUAUUUAUGUGAACUUUGGCCGCAGACGAUGGAACGAUGAUGACAACAUUGACUUUGCCCAGCGAAUAGCGGCUACGCUGGCUAGGUCAUGUUGUCCGAAUGGAUGAAAGCACUUUCGUUUUGAAGGAGUUCGAUGCAGUAUCAGCUGGUGAAAGCAGAGGAAGAGGAAGACCUUCACCGUUCGAAAGGCCACGGGGAGAAGGACAUGGUUGCACUUGGCGUCACAAUUGGUGCCAAAAAGUGAAAAGGAAAUUCGAAUGGCACAUUUUUUUUAACUCGGCUAUAAUCGAAGAAGAAAAAGCUUUGGUGUAAAAUCGUAGAGGCCAUUGCAAUACCAAUAAAAGUAGGAAAAUAAAAUUCUAUAAAAGGUUUCAUUAGCAUGAUGAAAAGUCAUGUACUGAUAUUUUCAUAAAUUCAGCGAAGACUCACUUUGUUAGACAAUUUCAGGGCGGGCACCAAAAUAAAAGAAAAAACAUAGGUGCUAUUAUUCAAUUCUCAAGAGCAAUAACUGGAAAAUAAUCGAUUAUUAAUUUCGAGCAAUGAUAUUCUCCUAUAAAUAACCUACAACCAUAAACGUUCAU
This is a long non-coding RNA of Zeugodacus cucurbitae (melon fly), 1583 nucleotides long. RefSeq lists it as uncharacterized. NCBI's taxonomy places the organism in Eukaryota, Metazoa, Arthropoda, Insecta, Diptera, Tephritidae. The record is from RefSeq and is a predicted model, not a curated record. The transcript has 3 exons.